This 615-nucleotide ribosomal RNA is filed under the name Astaena sp. BMNH 671333. RNAcentral describes it as "partial 16S large subunit ribosomal RNA". It matches the Rfam family "Bacterial large subunit ribosomal RNA", at positions 1844 to 2734 of the family's 2925-position model. The record is from RNAcentral. Lineage: Eukaryota; Metazoa; Arthropoda; Insecta; Coleoptera; Scarabaeidae.
UUUAAAGUCUGACCUGCCCACUGAGUAUUUAAAUGGCCGCGGUACUUUGACCGUGCAAAGGUAGCAUAAUAAUUAGUUUUUUAAUUGAAAGCUGGAAUGAAUGGUUGGACGAGAAAAUUACUGUCUUAGUUUAGUUUUAUUAGAAUUUUAUUUUUAAGUUAAAAAGCUUAAUUAUUUUUAAAAGACGAGAAGACCCUAUAGAGUUUUAUAGUUAUUAUUAUUAUUAUUAUUUAGUAUAUUUAUUUAGUAAUAGUAUUAGUUAUUUUAUUGGGGUGAUAGAAAAAUUAAAUUAACUUUUUUUAAUAAUUAGUCAUUAAUGAAUGUUUAAAUGAUCCAUAUUUUAUGAUUAUAAGAUUAAAUUACCUUAGGGAUAACAGCGUAAUUAUUUUUGAGAGUUCUUAUCGAAAAAAUAGGUUGCGACCUCGAUGUUGGAUUAAAAUUAACUUUUGGUGUAGGGGCUAAAAGGUUAGGUCUGUUCGACCUUUAAAAUUUUACAUGAUCUGAGUUUAAACCGGUGUGAGCCAGGUUGGUUUCUAUCUUUAAUUAUUUUAAAUAUUUUAGUACGAAAGGAUUAAAUAUUUAUAAUAUUUAUUAGUUUAAGAUUUUUAGUAAUAA